Asparagus officinalis (garden asparagus) is the source of this 318-nucleotide long non-coding RNA. RefSeq lists it as uncharacterized. Lineage: Eukaryota; Viridiplantae; Streptophyta; Magnoliopsida; Asparagales; Asparagaceae. The record is from RefSeq and is a predicted model, not a curated record. The transcript has 3 exons.
UUUUUGAACAGAGGCAUGCCCUUUUUGUCGAAGAGUGCGGGAAGCUAUGACCGAGCUGGAUCUUUCUGCAGAGGUCUAUCCAUGUCCAAAAGGAUCAGUAAGACACAGAGAAAUCGUUCGUAAAAUUGGCGGUCAUGAGCAGUUUUGAUUCUUAUCAUUUGGAGCUUCUGCUGCUGUGGAGGUUUUCUGUGUUCCAAAAGUGUAGGCAGUUUGGCUAUUUCAUCCACCACGAUAGGAGAAUAAAUUGGAUUCUUAAUGUAUAUUUGAUUCUUCUCAUUGUCAUGCGACUGAUUUUGUAAUGCUAAUUAAUACAGCCAU